CUGAAACAUCUAAGUACCUGAAGGAAGAGAAAGAAAUUCGAUUCCGUAAGUAGCGGCGAGCGAACGCGGAUUAGCCCAAACCAAUAAAGUUUUCUUUAUUGGGGGUGCGGACAUAUCAUAACGAAGAGGUAUCGUAAUUGAAGAGGUUUGGAAAGACCCACCACAGAAGGUAAUAGGCCUGUAUGUUAAACGAGAAGACUUCAGAUAUGAUCCAGAGUACCACGGGACACG
This 231-nucleotide ribosomal RNA is filed under the name Clostridioides difficile. RNAcentral describes it as "partial 23S ribosomal RNA". It matches the Rfam family "Bacterial large subunit ribosomal RNA", at positions 193 to 426 of the family's 2925-position model. The record is from RNAcentral. Lineage: Bacteria; Bacillati; Bacillota; Clostridia; Peptostreptococcales; Peptostreptococcaceae.